Roseovarius sp. BRH_c41 is the source of this 78-nucleotide non-coding RNA. The record is from Rfam. NCBI's taxonomy places the organism in Bacteria, Pseudomonadati, Pseudomonadota, Alphaproteobacteria, Rhodobacterales, Roseobacteraceae.
AACAUGGGGCCUCCGCGACUGCCCCGUGAGGCCAAGGCCCAAAGUCGCAUCCACUGAAAUCCCAGAGGAUGUGCCAUG